AGCAGCCGCGGUAAUUCCAGCUCCAAUAGCGUAUAUUAAAGUUGUUGCAGUUAAAAAGCUCGUAGUUGAACUUCGGGGUUUACUCAUUGGUCAGGCCUAAUUGUCUGUACUGGUGAGAUGAAUCUCUACCUUCUGAGGAACUUUCAUGCCAUUUAUUUGGUGUGGUUGGAAAUCAGGACUGUUACUUUGAAAAAUUAGAGUGUUUAAAGCAGGCUAACGUCUGAAUACAUUAGCAUGGAAUAAUGAAAUAGGACGGAUUGAUUCUAUUUCGUUGGUUUCUAGGGUCACCGUAAUGAUUAAUAGGGAUAGUUGGGGGCAUUAGUAUUCAAUUGUCAGAGGUGAAAUUCUUGGA
Molecule: ribosomal RNA, 352 nt
Filed under: uncultured Acaulospora
Lineage: Eukaryota; Fungi; Glomeromycota; Glomeromycetes; Diversisporales; Acaulosporaceae
Description: SSU rRNA
Rfam family: Eukaryotic small subunit ribosomal RNA
Source: RNAcentral